RNAcentral lists this long non-coding RNA (642 nucleotides) under Homo sapiens (human). RNAcentral describes it as "HSALNT0398666". Lineage: Eukaryota; Metazoa; Chordata; Mammalia; Primates; Hominidae. The record is from RNAcentral.
GCGGGGCCUAGGGGUCGGACUGCCGGACCUCUCCUCGGCGCGUCCCAGCGACUUUUUUAGGCCUGUUUGUCGCCCAGCAGUACUCGAUUCUUCACUUUUGGAUUCCCUUGAAUCUCUAUGGUGUCCUUUGGAGCCUAGCUAAGUAAAAAAUUAGAGACCUGUGGGCCCCUUAUAUUGGAAUCGGAGCUUAAGAUGGGAAAGGUUUGCUUGAAAACGUUUCUGCGAGCGAUGGAGGCGCGUCCUGCGACGAGGCGGGAGGAGCGCUGGGACCUGGUGGAUGGGAGAGGGCGACGGUAUAAGGAAGCUCUUGGAUCCAGGAACUUCUGAAAUCCGGACGAUUAAAAUUUGUAUUUAAUUAAGCGAAAGCUGGAGUUGUCUGCGGGGAAGAAAUCGUCAUAAGUGAAAGGUUAUUUUCCAUGAAAAUGUGGCCCACAACUCGUGUUGCCAUGCAGAACCUUCUGCUUACUCAAUAUUGAGUGCUGGAAAAUGACAGAAUGGCCUCUGUGGACCUGAAAAUUGGAAUGAUCUUCCUAUUUGUGGGCAGCAAGCCACCCAGCUGCCGAGGCAAGAGACCGAGGGCACGAGCUGUUCCAGCAUAAUAAAAUAUAUAAAACAACAAGAGUUAUAUUAGAUCUAGAUCAU